Solanum lycopersicum (tomato) is the source of this 158-nucleotide non-coding RNA. NCBI's taxonomy places the organism in Eukaryota, Viridiplantae, Streptophyta, Magnoliopsida, Solanales, Solanaceae. The record is from Rfam.
UGACUUACCUGGACGGCGUCAAUGGGUGAUCAACAAGGCCUAUGGCCUAGGCUGGUGAACUCCAUUACACUUGGGAGGGGUGCCUGCUCAAGUUGUCGAGCCUACAUCAAUACAUCAUAAUUUGUGGUAGUGGGAGUCUGCAUUCUCGCAGCCCCUAU